This 465-nucleotide ribosomal RNA is filed under the name uncultured bacterium. RNAcentral's name for it is "partial 16S ribosomal RNA". It matches the Rfam family "Bacterial small subunit ribosomal RNA", at positions 28 to 507 of the family's 1533-position model. The record is from RNAcentral.
GACGAACGCUGGCGGCGUGCUUAACACAUGCAAGUCGAACGGAAAGGCCCCUUUUGGGGUACUCGAGUGGCGAACGGGUGAGUAACACGUGUGUAACCUUCCCUUGACUUCGGGAUAACUUCAGGAAACUGGGGCUAAUUCCGGAUAGGAAUCCUUGCUGCAUGGUGGGGGUUGGAAAGCUUCGGCGGUUUUGGAUGGACUCGCGGCGUAUCAGCUUGUUGGUGGGGUAGUGGCUUACCAAGGCGUUGACGGGUAGCUGGCCUGAGAGGGCGACCGGCCACAUUGGGACUGAGAGACGGCCCAGACGCCUACGGGAGGAAGCAGUGGGGAAGAUUGAACAAUGGGCGGAAGCCUGAUGCAGCAACGCCGCGUGCGGGAUGACGGCCUUCGGGUUGUAAAACGCUUUCAGCAGGGGCGAAGCUUGUGGUGACGGUACCUGCAGAAGAAGCACCGGCUAACUACGUG